CCUACGGGGAGCAGCAGUGAGGAAUAUUGGUCAAUGGCCGGAAGGCUGAACCAGCCAUGCCGCGUGAAGGUCAGUGCCCUAUGGGCGUUAAACUUCUUUUGUGCGGGAGCAAUAAUGGUCACGUGUGGCCAGACGAGAGUACCGUACGAAUAAGCAUCGGCUAACUCCGUGCCAGCAGCCGCGGUAAUACGGGGGAUGCAAGCGUUAUCCGGAUUUAUUGGGGUUAAAGGGUGCGUAGGCUGUGAGGUAAGUCAGCGGUGAAAUGCCCCCGCUCAACGGGGUGAAGUGCCAUUGAUACUGGCUUGCUGGAAUGCGGAUGCCGUGGGAGGAAUGUGUGGUGUAGCGGUGAAAUGCAUAGAUAUCACACAGAACACCGAUUGCGAAGGCAUCUCACGAAUCCGCGAUUGACGCUGAUGCACGAAAGCGUGGGUAUCAAACAGGAUUAGAUACCCGGGUAGUC
RNAcentral lists this ribosomal RNA (460 nucleotides) under uncultured bacterium. RNAcentral's name for it is "partial 16S ribosomal RNA". It matches the Rfam family "Bacterial small subunit ribosomal RNA", at positions 338 to 795 of the family's 1533-position model. The record is from RNAcentral.